GGCAGGGAGAGCGCAGGGAAGGAGGGAGAAGGGGAGGGAGGCAGGGAGAGCGCAGGGAAGGAGGGAGACGGGGAGGCAGGCAGGGAGAGCGCAGGGAAGGAGGGAGACGGGGAGGCAGGCAGGGAGAGAAGCAGGCAAGCAGAGAGAGAGGCAGGGAUGGAGAGAGGCAGGCAGGGAGGGAAGCAGGCAAGCAGAGAGGGAGGCAGGGAUGGAGAGAGGCAGGCAGGGAGAGAAGCAGGCAAGCAGAGAGAGAGGCAGGGAUGGAGAGAGGCAGGCAGGGAGAGAGGCAGGCAGGGAGAGAGGGAGGCAGGGAUGGAGAUAGGCAGGCAGGGAGAGAGGCAGGCAGGGAGAGAGGGAGGCAGGGAUGGAGAUAGGCAGGCAGGGAGAGAGGCAGGCAGGGAGAGAGGCAGGCAGGGAUGGAGA
Molecule: long non-coding RNA, 423 nt
Organism: Oncorhynchus tshawytscha (Chinook salmon)
Lineage: Eukaryota; Metazoa; Chordata; Actinopteri; Salmoniformes; Salmonidae
Source: Ensembl